RNAcentral lists this long non-coding RNA (1913 nucleotides) under Mytilus galloprovincialis (Mediterranean mussel). The record is from RNAcentral. Lineage: Eukaryota; Metazoa; Mollusca; Bivalvia; Mytilida; Mytilidae.
AGUGAACAGUUUUAAGCAUCGUAAGUUGUUAAUAACAUUAACUUAAUAAACUUUAAACAGAUAGAUCCAAAAAACUUCAUAUUUUAUUGAUUAAUUUUAAAUUACAUGUUUUUUUUUGUGUUACACAUAGUUCAUAAAUCUUAUUCUUGUGUUUUAAUCUACUUUUUUCUUUUUUUUUAAAUCAAGGAACCGUGUAUUAGAAAUGACAAAUGUACUUGGUUUAUGAAUAAUUUUUAUGGUUUAUAGUUUCAAACGGUAGAGAUUCAAAUGUAUCAAUUCAGUUGAACAGUAUACAUAGUACAAAUUUGCCUAGAAAACAUUAUAACCAAAUAUCUAGCAUUCUUAAAACAAAUGUUGAAUUGUCAUAUCUUGUUAUUAAAUGUUAAUUUUCUUUUACAUUUCUAUCACAUCUUUAAAUACUUCAAAGCGGACCGCGGCUAUCGCUUUAAAAUAUUAAUUGAAUUUGAUCUGAAUGGAUUUGGCUUUUUAUGUCUCUUUUUAGUUUUUCGUCUAUGCAAGUCUAUGCAAGUAUUUAUACAUUAUUUGCCUCUCAUUGCUUCUUACCUUAAAUUCAAGGACAACGACAUUGGAGUUGUUUAGGAUCACGAUGCUUUAAAAAUCGCAGGAACUUAUUGCAUUAUAUUUAGAUAUUUGUUCACUUCUACACCAAUUUAUGCUUUAAGAACGAAAGUAGCCGCAUAUAAAGAUAAACCGCAUUAAUCGGGUACAGCUUCUCUUAAUUCUUCGAAAAUCAUAACAAGAAAAUUAGGUUUGUAUUAGAAGGGUGUUUUAUUAAUUGCCAAUGACAAUCUGAUACCAGAAUCUUUAAAUCAAAUCCUUAACAGAAGAGAAGCAUAGAAAGACAAAAACUAUACCAAAAACGUAGCACAGAAAAGGGAAUUCUAAAACACAAGGUGUUAAAUUCUAUAGGUUGAACAAGCAAGAGGGUAGGACAAAUGCACUUUAGAAAACUGUGUCAUUAUCACGAUAAACAAUAUUUGUGUUUGUUUUUUUAAUUGCAGGAGUGAAGCGUCGAGACAAAAAGAAAAGCGGAGGUAUAUGUCUGUUAUGUUUAGUAUAACUGUUUAAUUGCAUGUAAUGUCAUAAGCUCCUAUUCACUUUUAAAAGAGGGACGAAAGAUACCAAAAAGACAGUCAAACUCAUAAAUCUAAAACAAACUGAAAACGCCAUGGCUAAAAAUGAAAAAGGACAAACAAACAUCAGCACACAUGACACAACAUAGAAAACUAAAGAAUAAACAACACGGACCCCACCACAAAACUAGGGGUGAUCUCAGGUGCUCCGGGAAGGGUGAGCAGAUCCUGCCCCACCUGUGGCACCCGUUUUUAAUGUUUACUACUAGAAUAUCAGUGUACCAUACUUUCCAUUAAUUAUUUUCUAAAUUUAAUGGUAGAAUUCAAUUUAGAAAUCUUCCUUAGCAGACUUCAUUUAUUUUUAAAUACGGAUUAAGCUUUGUAUUUUAGAAUUUUAAAAAAUCAUUAUCAUUAGCAGUGCAUGUGUUCGAGUCAACUUAUGUAGUUUCAACUAUUUUUACAGGUUGUUCCGGAUUUUGUCUCAUUUGUUUUAUCAGAAGACAAGCCCAAGCCUAACGCUGACCAAGCUGUUCCAGGUGUUCACGGCGGAGAGUGAUGAUAUAUUUUGUAUAACGAUUUUCUAUUUGUAUAGAUUACAAUUUAGUUUUACGAAUGACUAUGUAUCGGUAAUUGACGAAAACACAAAACAAAUAUCGUGUUCUAAGAAGAGCACAAUUUGAAUUAAUUUUUUUUCGUUGACAAUUUUUCUAAGCUUUAGAUAAGUUAUAGAGCUUUGUAUAAUUACACAAUAGAAUUGUUUUCUUUGAACAUUUGAUAUUAAUGCAAAAUAAAAUAAAACGUGUACUUCCAAGUUUAGUA